Molecule: ribosomal RNA, 365 nt
Filed under: uncultured Holophagae bacterium
Lineage: Bacteria; Pseudomonadati; Acidobacteriota; Holophagae
Description: bacterial SSU rRNA
Rfam family: Bacterial small subunit ribosomal RNA
Source: RNAcentral
GAGGGGAGCCCUAGCACAGGUGCUGCAUGGCCGUCGUCAGCUCGUGCCGUGAGGGUGUUGGGUUUAAGUCCCGCAACGAGCGCAACCCCUGCCCUUAGUUGCCAUCGGGUCACGCCGGGAACUCUAAGGGGACCGCCCCGGACAACGGGGAGGAAGGUGGGAUGACGUCAAGUCAGCAUGGCCUUUAUGUCCAGGGCUACACACGUGCUACAAUGGUUGGUACAAAGGGUUGCCAAGCCGUGAGGCGGAGCCAAUCUCAAAAAGCCAACCUCAGUUCGGAUUGCAGUCUGCAACUCGACUGCAUGAAGUUGGAAUCGCUAGUAAUCGCUGAUCAGCAGGCAGCGGUGAAUACGUUCCCGGGCCUU